UACAUAUCAAUAAGCGGAGGAAAAAGAAAACCAACCCGGGAUUGCCCUAGUAACGGCGAGUGAAGCGGCAAGAGCUCAAAUUUGAAAGCUGGCUCCUUCGGGGUCCGCAUUGUAAUUUGCAGAGGAUGCUUCGGGAGCGGUCCCCAUCUAAGUGCCCUGGAACGGGCCGUCAUAGAGGGUGAGAAUCCCGUAUGGGAUGGGGUGCCCGCGCCCGUGUGAAGCUCCUUCGACGAGUCGAGUUGUUUGGGAAUGCAGCUCUAAUUGGGUGGUAAAUUUCAUCUAAAGCUAAAUAUUGGCCGGAGACCGAUAGCGCACAAGUAGAGUGAUCGAAAGAUGAAAAGCACUUUGAAAAGAGAGUUAAACAGCACGUGAAAUUGUUGAAAGGGAAGCGCUUGCGAUCAGACUCGCUCGCGGGGUUCAGCCGGCCUUCGGGCCGGUGUACUUCCCCGCGGGCGGGCCAGCGUCGGUUUGGGCGGCCGGUCAAAGGCCCCUGGAAUGUAACGCCUCUCGGGGCGUCUUAUAGCCAGGGGUGCCAUGCGGCCUGCCCGGACCGAGGAACGCGCUUCGGCUCGGACGCUGGCAUAAUGGUCGUAAGCGACCCGUCUUGAAACACGGACCAAGGAGUCUAACAUCUACGCGAGUGUUCGGGUGUCAAACCCGUGCGCGCAGUGAAAGCGAACGGAGGUGGGAACCCCUCGGGGUGCACCAUCGACCGAUCCUGAUGUCUUCGGAUGGAUUUGAGUAAGAGCGUAGCUGUUGGGACCCGAAAGAUGGUGAACUAUGCCUGAAUAGGGCGAAGCCAGAGGAAACUCUGGUGGAGGCUCGCAGCGGUUUCUGACGUGCAAAUCGAUCGUCAAAUUUGGGUAUAGGGGCGAAAGACUAAUCGA
This 887-nucleotide ribosomal RNA is filed under the name Penicillium cosmopolitanum. RNAcentral's name for it is "LSU rRNA". It matches the Rfam family "Eukaryotic large subunit ribosomal RNA", at positions 37 to 938 of the family's 3401-position model. Lineage: Eukaryota; Fungi; Ascomycota; Eurotiomycetes; Eurotiales; Aspergillaceae. The record is from RNAcentral.